AUUGAACGCUGGCGGCAGGCCUAACACAUGCAAGUCGAGCGGCAGCGGAAAGUAGCUUGCUACUUUGCCGGCGAGCGGCGGACGGGUGAGUAAUGUCUGGGAAACUGCCUGAUGGAGGGGGAUAACUACUGGAAACGGUGGCUAAUACCGCAUAACGUCGCAAGACCAAAGUGGGGGACCUUCGGGCCUCACGCCAUCGGAUGUGCCCAGAUGGGAUUAGCUAGUAGGUGGGGUAAUGGCUCACCUAGGCGACGAUCCCUAGCUGGUCUGAGAGGAUGAUCAGCCACACUGGAACUGAGACACGGUCCAGACUCCUACGGGAGGCAGCAGUGGGGAAUAUUGCACAAUGGGGGAAACCCUGAUGCAGCCAUGCCGCGUGUGUGAAGAAGGNCUUCGGGUUGUAAAGCACUUUCAGCGAGGAGGAAAGGUCAGUANCUAAUAUCUGCUGACUGUGACGUUACUCGCANAANAANCACCGGCUAACUCCGUGCCAGCAGCCGCGGUAAUACGGAGGUGCAAGCGUUAAUCGGAAUUACUGGGCGUAAAGCNCACGC
RNAcentral lists this ribosomal RNA (554 nucleotides) under uncultured prokaryote. RNAcentral describes it as "bacterial SSU rRNA". It matches the Rfam family "Bacterial small subunit ribosomal RNA", at positions 28 to 572 of the family's 1533-position model. The record is from RNAcentral.